Molecule: ribosomal RNA, 549 nt
Filed under: uncultured bacterium
Lineage: Bacteria
Description: bacterial SSU rRNA
Rfam family: Bacterial small subunit ribosomal RNA
Source: RNAcentral
AGGGAAUCUUCCGCAAUGGGCGAAAGCCUGACGGAGCAACGCCGCGUGAGUGAUGAAGGUCUUCGGAUCGUAAAACUCUGUUAUUAGGGAAGAACAAAUGUGUAAGUAGCUAUGCACGUCUUGACGGUACCUAAUCAGAAAGCCACGGCUAACUACGUGCCAGCAGCCGCGGUAAUACGUAGGUGGCAAGCGUUAUCCGGAAUUAUUGGGUGUAAAGCGCGCGUAGGCGGUUUUUUAAGUCUGAUGUGAAAGCCCACGGCUCAACCGUGGAGGGUCAUUGGAAACUGGAAAACUUGAGUGCAGAAGAGGAAAGUGGAAUUCCAUGUGUAGCGGUGAAAUGCGCAGAGAUAUGGAGGAACACCAGUGGCGAAGGCGACUUUCUGGUCUGUAACUGACGCUGAUGUGCGAAAGCGUGGGGAUCAAACAGGAUUAGAUACCCUGGUAGUCCACGCCGUAAACGAUGAGUGCUAAGUGUUAGGGGGUUUCCGCCCCUUAGUGCUGCAGCUAACGCAUUAAGCACUCCGCCUGGGGAGUACGACCGCAAGGUUG